Long non-coding RNA from Gordionus sp. m RMFG-2023, 461 nucleotides. RefSeq lists it as uncharacterized. NCBI's taxonomy places the organism in Eukaryota, Metazoa, Nematomorpha, Gordioida, Chordodea, Parachordodidae. The record is from RefSeq and is a predicted model, not a curated record. The transcript is spliced from 3 exons.
UUUUUUAAAAUGAAUCAAUAUUUCUUAGUUAAAUUAUGUCAAGAAAGAAAAAAAUAUAGUUAAUUCGAAAAAAAGGAGGGAGGGUAUUUUACUUUGCUGCCGAAAUUACCUGAAAAUGAUGUAAAGUUUUAUAAUUAUAUGCGUAUGAAAAAAGAAACGUUUUAUUAUAUACUAAAUCUUAUAAAAGUUACAAUCACAAAAAAGAAAACGAAUUUUAUCAAGAAUCAAAUUACAUCAGAUAAAAAGUUAAUGAUUACCUUGAGAUAUCUUGCAACCGGGGAUUCAUAUGUCUCCAUAUCUUAUAAUUAUAAAUUAGGAGUAUCCACUAUUAAGCAAAUAAUAGGAGAUAAAAUCAAGGCUUUAUGGGAUAUUUUGCAACCUAUCCAUAUGAUGGUACCUACAUUAGAGAUGUUUGAGGAAGUAGCUCAAGGCUUUGAGGAGAUGUGGAACUUCCCAAACUG